CAGCAGCCGCGGUAAUACGUAGGGUGCGAGCGUUGAUCGGAAUUACUGGGCGUAAAGCGUGCGCAGGCGGUUGUGUAAGGCAGGUGUGAAAUCCCCGGGCUUAACCUGGGAACUGCGCUUGUGACUGCACAGCUAGAGUAUGGCAGAGGGGGGUGGAAUUCCACGUGUAGCAGUGAAAUGCGUAGAGAUGUGGAGGAACACCGAUGGCGAAGGCAGCCCCCUGGGCCAAUACUGACGCUCAUGCACGAAAGCGUGGGGAGCAAACAGGAUUAGAUACCCCUGUAGUCCCUGUCUCUUAUAC
This 301-nucleotide ribosomal RNA is filed under the name uncultured bacterium. RNAcentral's name for it is "partial 16S ribosomal RNA". It matches the Rfam family "Bacterial small subunit ribosomal RNA", at positions 509 to 807 of the family's 1533-position model. The record is from RNAcentral.